UUUAAAGAGAGUUUGAUCCUGGCUCAGGACGAACGCUGGCGGCGUGCCUAAUACAUGCAAGUCGAACGAACGGAGGAAGAGCUUGCUCUUCCAAAGUUAGUGGCGGACGGGUGAGUAACACGUGGGCAACCUGCCUGUAAGUUGGGGAUAACUCCGGGAAACCGGGGCUAAUACCGAAUGAUAAAA
This 186-nucleotide ribosomal RNA is filed under the name Listeria monocytogenes. RNAcentral's name for it is "partial 16S ribosomal RNA". It matches the Rfam family "Bacterial small subunit ribosomal RNA", at positions 1 to 181 of the family's 1533-position model. Lineage: Bacteria; Bacillati; Bacillota; Bacilli; Caryophanales; Listeriaceae. The record is from RNAcentral.